RNAcentral lists this transfer RNA (75 nucleotides) under Cordylochernes scorpioides. RNAcentral's name for it is "tRNA-Thr". Lineage: Eukaryota; Metazoa; Arthropoda; Arachnida; Pseudoscorpiones; Chernetidae. The record is from RNAcentral.
UGUCAAGGGAUGGGAAUCGAACCCACAGUGUUCGGCUUACCGGGCAGAUGCCAUGUCCACUAGGCUACCCUGGAC